UUAAUUGAAGCCAAAUAUGAGGCACUUUAAUGUUAAUAAAGUUAAUGAUGAAUUUUAUAAUCCAAUUAAA
Molecule: transfer RNA, 70 nt
Filed under: Tanna japonensis
Lineage: Eukaryota; Metazoa; Arthropoda; Insecta; Hemiptera; Cicadidae
Description: tRNA-Asn
Source: RNAcentral